This 345-nucleotide unclassified non-coding RNA is filed under the name soil metagenome. RNAcentral describes it as "partial contains 5.8S ribosomal RNA, internal transcribed spacer 2, and large subunit ribosomal RNA". The stretch from base 1 to 119 matches the Rfam family "5.8S ribosomal RNA", at positions 35 to 154 of the family's 154-position model. The record is from RNAcentral.
GAUGAAGAACGUAGCGAAAUGCGAUACGUAAUGUGAAUUGCAAAUUCAGUGAAUCAUCGAGUCUUUGAACGCACAUUGCGCCCCCUGGUAUUCCGGGGGGCAUGCCUGUCCGAGCGUCAUUUCUGCCCUCAAGCACGGCUUGUGUGUUGGGCCCCGUCCUCCGAUCCCGGGGGACGGGCCCGAAAGGCAGCGGCGGCACCGCGUCCGGUCCUCGAGCGUAUGGGGCUUUGUCACCCGCUCUGUAGGCCCGGCCGGCGCUUGCCGAUCAACCCAAAUUUUUAUCCAGGUUGACCUCGGAUCAGGUAGGGAUACCCGCUGAACUUAAGCAUAUCAAUAAGCGGAGGA